This 991-nucleotide ribosomal RNA is filed under the name Salmonella enterica. RNAcentral's name for it is "partial 23S ribosomal RNA". It matches the Rfam family "Bacterial large subunit ribosomal RNA", at positions 1 to 924 of the family's 2925-position model. RNAcentral also lists the same sequence under 1 other name. The record is from RNAcentral. Lineage: Bacteria; Pseudomonadati; Pseudomonadota; Gammaproteobacteria; Enterobacterales; Enterobacteriaceae.
GGGUUGUGAGGUUAAGCGACUAAGCGUACACGGUGGAUGCCCUGGCAGUCAGAGGCGAUGAAGGGCGUGCUAAUCUGCGAUAAGCGCCGGUAAGGUGAUAUGAACCGUUAUAACCGGCGAUACCCGAAUGGGGAAACCCAGUGUGACUCGUCACACUAUCAUUAACUGAAUCCAUAGGUUAAUGAGGCGAACCGGGGGAACUGAAACAUCUAAGUACCCCGAGGAAAAGAAAUCAACCGAGAUUCCCCCAGUAGCGGCGAGCGAACGGGGAGGAGCCCAGAGCCUGAAUCAGCAUGUGUGUUAGUGGAAGCGUCUGGAAAGGCGCGCGAUACAGGGUGACAGCCCCGUACACAAAAGCGCAUGUGCUGUGAGCUCAAUGAGUAGGGCGGGACACGUGGUAUCCUGUCUGAAUAUGGGGGGACCAUCCUCCAAGGCUAAAUACUCCUGACUGACCGAUAGUGAACCAGUACCGUGAGGGAAAGGCGAAAAGAACCCCGGCGAGGGGAGUGAAAAAGAACCUGAAACCGUGUACGUACAAGCAGUGGGAGCCCCACCACUAAGCCAGUGGUGAACUCCACAUACGCAUCCUUUGCUGAGGAUACGGUUAAGGGAGCGAAAGCGACGUUCAACCGCAAAAGAAGCAGAGGGGGCUUAGUGGUGGGGUGACUGCGUACCUUUUGUAUAAUGGGUCAGCGACUUAUAUUCUGUAGCAAGGUUAACCGUAUAGGGGAGCCGUAGGGAAACCGAGUCUUAACCGGGCGUUAAGUUGCAGGGUAUAGACCCGAAACCCGGUGAUCUAGCCAUGGGCAGGUUGAAGGUUGGGUAACACUAACUGGAGGACCGAACCGACUAAUGUUGAAAAAUUAGCGGAUGACCUGUGGCUGGGGGUGAAAGGCCAAUCAAACCGGGAGAUAGCUGGUUCUCCCCGAAAGCUAUUUAGGUAGCGCCUCGUGAACUCAUCUCCGGGGGUAGAGCACUGUUUCGGCUAGGG